GUACCUUACAUCCAGUCGAUCAUAUAGCGUGUAUAGAUUCUCUUUAACACGUUGUUAUAUGCUGAAGAGGAAAGCUGAACAAUUAUGGACAACAACGCAAUAAAUAGAUCAAAGGAAACACGUACUUUGAAACCUGAAUCGAAAACGCGACAGUAUAAUAUUGGUGGAAAUUGUUACUGCUGUGUACCUCAAUGUGGAAAAAGUUCUAGACAGUAUUCUCACUCCCGCUGAACUACGUUACAAUGAGAGGUGCGUCUGCACGACAACGCGAUACGGCGUCAUAACUACAACGGUUACGGCGUCUUUCCACAGUUUGUUGACGAUACGGGACAUUGUUAAAACAAAUGAUAUUAACGGUAACUUUGAAUAGUUUUUGUAUGUGUAAGCCAAUGUUUAUUUAAAUACGGAUAUUGUGUUCCUCUUUCACAGCUUGCCAUGUAAUUUAUUCCUAUGUUAUCGAUAAAAUGGAAGUUUUACAGACCUGUAUAGACAACUCAUAAAAUCAUUGGAAUAUACUUCAAAGUCUGACAUUAAACAGAUGAAAAUGCAAACAGACGUAAGCAAGAACGAAUGUUGAAUCAUUCUUAUCAAGAUCUGUCUCAAAAUUAACUGCAUGUAAGUGUAACUAGAUCAAUUUUGAUGAAUUAAAAUGUUACGGCGUCUUACAGAGAGUGUUACAGUGCAUUUACUACAACUUGUUUAAGGUUACGGUAUAGUAUCGACGUUUACUAGAGGUUUCGGUAUAACAAGUUCGGUAAAUUGUAUUUAUAUAGUAAAUGUUGUGGAGGGUUCGGUAAAAUGGAUCUUUAUAGCGGUAUACCUACAAUAAGGUGUUAAUGCCACCCAUUAUUGUCUUACAUUACGGGCAUAUAUUUGCAGACUGGCGAUUAUUUUUAAUUGAUUAAUUAAUGCAAUGCCUACAGUAAAUAAUUUAGGGGCAUGAAUGAGCUACCACUGAACUUUAAAAAAAGAAUAGUUGUAGGUACCAAACCAAAAAAUGUAGAUUGAAUUUAAAAUGUAACUUUAUUGAAAGUAAAUUUACGAUUUAAAUAAAUCAGUACUUAUUUUUUUAACGAUUUGUUCAUUUAUUAAAAAAAAAUAGUAAUAAUGAAUGUUGAUUUAAAGACUGAAUUAAUAGAAGAUCUUCAAUUUAGAUCAAUGCCUUAAACAAAUGUUCAAAGUCUUGUAAAAUAGUGUAGUACUGAUUUAUUUAAAAAAAAAAUAAUUUUUUUUUAAUGAAUUUGCGAUUCUAAGAUUAAUUCAGUCUUUAAUUGUAUAUUUUUACUAUUAUUUUAUCUAAAAAUAAAUGUACCAAAUCUUAAAAAAUUGUAUUACUGAUUGAUUAAAAAAGCGCCAUAAAGAAAUACAAAUAAAUAUUACCCAAAUGAAGUCUUGCUUUUAAAUGACCUUAAUAUGUUAUUGAAUUCCCCACUUUCGAUGUGUGAAAUAUUUUCUACAUUCCUGUUAAAUUCUUUACAGUAAUUGAGGUAAUUAGUAACCGUUGUUGUUGCAAUCAAUGACGACCUCCAUACUCACGUCCAAAAUGGUACUAUCGUGGAACGAAAUCACCAUGGUUUUAAAUUUGACUUCCUGCAGGCGCUGUAACACUGUAAAGAAGACACCGUAACAUGUCUUAGUCGUAAGAGAAGAUACCGUAACAUGGACACGGAGUUGACAUGCUACAACUUUUUUGCAAAAUCGGAUAGAAAUCACCAAUAAUAGUAUACACAUGGGAAUCACAUGCUUGUAAAAGAGUGAACUUGAUACAGAUCAUUAAAAAGAAUCAUCGUGACAGAAACUGCAAGCCAGAAACAACGAAUUUAUUAGAUUUGCUAUGUUUUGAGCUUGAACUUCUUUCUUUUAUCAUGAUUUCACGCUAGAAAAUGUCUCGAUAGCUUAGGUAGCGAGUAAAGAAACAUUAAUUAAUGAAAAUAAAUGCCAUUUCCCGGUUUAAGUGUAAGUUUAAACAAAGAAAUUACCUGUCUAAACGCGUGUGUAUGUCUAUAACUAUCAAGACGCUGUAACCGUUGUAGUUACGACGCCGUAUCGCGUUGUCGUUCAGACGAACCUCUCAUUGUAACGUAGUUCAGCGGGAGUGAUUCUCUGCACUUUCACCGCUUACCGUCGGAUCCACAACUUAGAGAGAGGUGUAUAGCAAACAUUACAAGGCAUGGCGAAUAUCCUGUCAAGUUCAAGUCCAUUUCCGUCGUCUGCUCCCGCCACUUCCUGCCACGUGACUAUUCCAGCUGGACCCCCGUGAAGAGACUCCAGAAGGGCGCGGUACCGACAGUGUUUGAAGACAUUGUCUCUUUAGGAUUGGAAGUGAAGUCAGCGCAUGACAAUCUUGAGAGUCAAAACAUUACAACCAAUCCCUCUGUUGACAAAUUAACAAAUCAACGGGAAGUGAAAUAUUUUCAGAACUAUAAAUUGAUUGCCGAAAAUAGCAUGUGCCACACCUUCGAAACGUCACGUCCGGUUUUGAGCAAACGAGAUGACAAUGAAUCGACUGGAAGCCUUAGGAACAAAAAGAAGAAACAAACGUCAGUAUCAAAUGAAGACACAUCGGUGUUUUAUCUGCAUAGGAAGAUUGAAUCAAGAAUCCUUAAGCGGAAACGUCUUGAAACCUACGUGUCGAACAUUUGGAGCAAGAAAAAGUCGUGUGGCUGACAUUGAAGCAAAACAGUCUAGAGUGUGUGUAGGACAGCUAUGCAGGGCAAAAUGUCGGAUACAAAUAUUCGUUAUUUUGUUGCGAUAUCGGAGAACAAACGAAAACAAAACGAGUUACGAUAUCAGGAAUCUAAAAUCGAUGACUUGAAGAAAAAGAUGCUAUCUAAAUACUGGAAAGAUAAAUUCAGCGUGUUUGACGAAAUGAUUCGCUUGAACGUUAAAACACCGUCGUACAGUGAAGAGCGCGUUAACGCAUACGUGACAAAUGACGGUAAAAUGACGCCAUCUGAUAAAUCGAUGACGCUUGGUGCAAUGGCGAUAGACUCGAAACUCCUUAGUAACAGACCGGUAACGCUGCAGAAAAAUUUAAAGCCGGGAACAAGGAUAGAGCCGAUUAUCAGUAUAGAAGGAAGCGAUGCUGUGUGCUACCCGAAUAAGGAGGCCAAACGCGGACGUAAGGUUCUACUCAAUCAACGUGUUUUACGUCGUAUAGAGCAGUGUAAAGCGCUGGAAGAGAGUAUAGCAUCUUCAAGAUGUAAAAGUGCAAGAAGAGACGUAAGUGACGUUAUGUACAGGCGAAACGGGUCGCAGGUAAGACGUCCGAAAACGGCACCCGCUUUGAAACCGAAGUCGGAUAGUGAUGUCUCAAAUGAUGAGCCACCGUCUUCACAGGACGCUAAGGACGUUAACGUUAAUGUUUCAACGCGAAGACCGUCAACGUCAGUGAGUUCAUAUCGACGUGAGGGACUCAUUACAUCAAUUCAACGACGUCCAUCUACGUCGUUAUCAUGAAAAUGCUGAAUUGAGAUCGGGUUUAAAUAUAAAGGUCUAAUUUCUAAUGAAGAAUGGAUCUGUUUUUGUACUGGAAAUGUAUAUUUGUGAGUAUGUAAUUUUGUGAGUGCUAAAUUAUAUUAUUAAAUAAAAACAUGCAAUCAUUGU
Molecule: RNA transcript, 3606 nt
Organism: Dreissena polymorpha
Lineage: Eukaryota; Metazoa; Mollusca; Bivalvia; Myida; Dreissenidae
Exons: 4
Source: RefSeq, a predicted model, not a curated record